UACGUAGGGGGCAAGCGUUGUCCGGAUUUCUUGGGCGUAAAGAGCGUGUAGGCGGCUUUACAGGUCCGUUGUGAAAACUCGAGGCUCAACCUCGAGACGCCGGUGGAAACCGUAAAGCUAGAGUCCGGAAGAGGAGAGUGGAAUUCCUGGUGUAGCGGUGAAAUGCGCAGAUAUCAGGAAGAACACCCGUGGCGAAGGCGGCUCUCUGGGACGGUACUGACGCUGAGACGCGAAAGCGUGGGGAGCGAACAGG
RNAcentral lists this ribosomal RNA (253 nucleotides) under uncultured bacterium. Its description in RNAcentral is "partial 16S ribosomal RNA". It matches the Rfam family "Bacterial small subunit ribosomal RNA", at positions 524 to 776 of the family's 1533-position model. The record is from RNAcentral.